CUUUGCUGGCGACCGGCGCACGGGUGAGUAACACGUAUCCAACCUGCCCUUUACUCGGGGAUAGCCUUUCGAAAGAAAGAUUAAUACCCGAUAGCAUAAUGAUUCCGCAUGGUUUCAUUAUUAAAGGAUUCCGGUAAAGGAUGGGGAUGCGUUCCAUUAGGUUGUUGGUGAGGUAACGGCUCACCAAGCCUUCGAUGGAUAGGGGUUCUGAGAGGAAGGUCCCCCACAUUGGAACUGAGACACGGACCAA
Molecule: ribosomal RNA, 250 nt
Filed under: uncultured bacterium
Lineage: Bacteria
Description: partial 16S ribosomal RNA
Rfam family: Bacterial small subunit ribosomal RNA
Source: RNAcentral